CGCGCGAUACAGGGUGACAGCCCCGUACACAAAAGCGCAUGUGCUGUGAGCUCGAUGAGUAGGGCGGGACACGUGGUAUCCUGUCUGAAUAUGGGGGGACCAUCCUCCAAGGCUAAAUACUCCUGACUGACCGAUAGUGAACCAGUACCGUGAGGGAAAGGCGAAAAGAACCCCGGCGAGGGGAGUGAAAAAGAACCUGAAACCGUGUACGUACAAGCAGUGGGAGCACAGGUUUACCUGUGUGACUGCGUACCUUUUGUAUAAUGGGUCAGCGACUUAUAUUCUGUAGCAAGGUUAACCGCAUAGGGGAGCCGGAGGGAAACCGAGUCUUAAUUGGGCGUUAAGUUGCAGGGUAUAGACCCGAAACCCGGUGAUCUAGCCAUGGGCAGGUUGAAGGUUGGGUAACACUAACUGGAGGACCGAACCGACUAAUGUUGAAAAAUUAGCGGAUGACCUGUGGCUGGGGGUGAAAGGCCAAUCAAACCGGGAGAUAGCUGGUUCUCCCCGAAAGCUAUUUAGGUAGCGCCUCGUGAAUUCAUCUCCGGGGGUAGAGCACUGUUUCGGCUAGGGGGCCAUCCCGGCUUACCAACCCGAUGCAAACUGCGAAUACCGGAGAAUGUUAUCACGGGAGACACACGGCGGGUGCUAACGUCCGUCGUGAAGAGGGAAACAACCCAGACCGCCAGCUAAGGUCCCAAAGUCAUGGUUAAGUGGGAAACGAUGUGGGAAGGCCCAGACAGCCAGGAUGUUGGCUUAGAAGCAGCCAUCAUUUAAAGAAAGCGUAAUAGCUCACUGGUCGAGUCGGCCUGCGCGGAAGAUGUAACGGGGCUAAACCAUGCACCGAAGCUGCGGCAGCGAACGUAUCACUUAAAGCGAUUCAGCGGGUUACGAUUGACGGAGCGAAGCGACGUCAAAGCGUAUACAAAGUCGAGUCGGUUUAAGGAUACGUUCGUUGGGUAGGGGAGCGUUCUGUAAGCCUGCGAAGGUGGCCUGUGAGGGUUGCUGGAGGUAUCAGAAGUGCGAAUGCUGACAUAAGUAACGAUAAAGCGGGUGAAAAGCCCGCUCGCCGGAAGACCAAGGGUUCCUGUCCAACGUUAAUCGGGGCAGGGUGAGUCGACCCCUAAGGCGAGGCCGAAAGGCGUAGUCGAUGGGAAACGGGUUAAUAUUCCCGUACUUGGUGUUACUGCGAAGGGGGGACGGAGAAGGCUAUGUUGGCCGGGCGACGGUUGUCCCGGUUUAAGCGUGUAGGUGUGUGUUCCAGGUAAAUCCGGUU
This 1273-nucleotide ribosomal RNA is filed under the name Salmonella enterica subsp. enterica serovar Agona. RNAcentral describes it as "partial 23S ribosomal RNA". It matches the Rfam family "Bacterial large subunit ribosomal RNA", at positions 351 to 1547 of the family's 2925-position model. The record is from RNAcentral. Lineage: Bacteria; Pseudomonadati; Pseudomonadota; Gammaproteobacteria; Enterobacterales; Enterobacteriaceae.